Molecule: ribosomal RNA, 287 nt
Filed under: uncultured bacterium
Lineage: Bacteria
Description: partial 16S ribosomal RNA
Rfam family: Bacterial small subunit ribosomal RNA
Source: RNAcentral
AUGUCCCUACGGGGGGCAGCAGUGGGGAAUAUUGGACAAUGGGGGAAACCCUGAUCCAGCGACGCCGCGUGAGUGAAGAAGUAUUUCGGUACGUAAAGCUCUAUCAGCAGGAAAGAAAAUGACGGUACCUGACCAAGAAGCCCCGGCUAAAUACGUGCCAGCAGCCGCGGUAAUACGUAUGGGGCAAGCGUUAUCCGGAUUUACUGGGUGUAAAGGGAGCGUAGGCGGCAGGGCAAGCCCGAUGUGAAAGCCCGGGGCUCAACCCCGGGACUGCAUUGGGAACUGCC